GCAGUCCAAAGACCGCAAUGCUCGCGCCGCACAGAACACUUUGAAUGUUCAUAUUUGCGAGCGGGGAAGGUCUGAACGUUCCAAAUGCCCCUUCGACGCAUCUUUGCCUGGUGUGGUCUUAAAAUUUAAAAGGUCAACGACGUACCAGAAACUAGGGAGGCACCUGUCAGCCAUCGCGCCGGCCGGUGGCUGACGAUGUAACCUUGAAACUGUCGUGGGUGUGAGUAGUGUUCGAGGGACCGCACCGCUAACACUCUAUCUGGGUCUUUCGCGGGUGGUAACGCGCUCCGAGCCGUCUAGGGCUCAGGCUGCGGGAGCAUUGUUGGUGUCUUUUACGGAGUUCACUCCGUAAAUGUGCUAGCGAGUAGCUCAUGACCAAAGAGGAGAACCUGUGCCGGUGUAAGAUGCCUUGAUCUGGCUCUAUCCUUCAGUUUACUUCGCGGUAGUCUGCUGUAGCAGGCCAACUUGAUUCAGACUACUCUUGUGCUGC
Molecule: RNase P RNA, 490 nt
Filed under: Phanerochaete carnosa HHB-10118-sp
Lineage: Eukaryota; Fungi; Basidiomycota; Agaricomycetes; Polyporales; Phanerochaetaceae
Description: Nuclear RNase P
Rfam family: Nuclear RNase P
About the family: Ribonuclease P (RNase P) is a ubiquitous endoribonuclease, found in archaea, bacteria and eukarya as well as chloroplasts and mitochondria.
Source: Rfam by way of RNAcentral